This is a long non-coding RNA of Gadus macrocephalus (Pacific cod), 939 nucleotides long. RefSeq lists it as uncharacterized. The transcript has 3 exons. NCBI's taxonomy places the organism in Eukaryota, Metazoa, Chordata, Actinopteri, Gadiformes, Gadidae. The record is from RefSeq and is a predicted model, not a curated record.
GUUGAGAGAGAGAGAGAGAGAGAGAGAGAGAGAGAGAGAGAGAGAGAAGCAGUAUGGGUGUGAGGAAAGGAUUGUGUCUAAGAGAGAGAGUGUGUGAGAAACGGGGUGAGAGAGGGGGAGAGAGUGAGCUUUUGGGGGAUUUGGUCAGUGUAUGAGAAAGAGUGAUAUUAACGAAGGGGAUCUUGUCUGAUGGCAGGAGAGAGUGAAAGAAGAAAAGAAAAAUACCUGAGAUGUGCUGACACCCUGAAAAAUGAUCAACUUCUCCCUUCUUAAGGAAAUCCAGUCACCACUUGUUUUGAAAUCACUUCAGAGGGAAGUUUGCAAUGAACUUUGGUUAGACUGAUAUUGAUACAGUGUGUGUGUGUGUGUGUGUGUGUGUGUGUGUGUGUGUGUGUGUGUGUGCGAUAUAGAAGUAGAGAAAGUGUGGGAGUGUGUCUGUAAGAGAGAGAGAGAGAUAGAGUUUGUGUGCAUGAGAGAAGAAGUGUGUAUGUGUGUGUGUGUGUGUGUGUGUGUGUGUGUGUGUGUUUGUAUGUGUGUGCGUUUUAUGUGUAUAGAAGGAGAAGAGAGGUGAAGAGAUGUGUGUGUGUGUGUGUGUGUGUGUGUGUGUGUGUGUGUGUGUGUGUGUGUGUGUGUGUGUGUGUGUGUGUGUGUGUGUGUGUGUGUGUGUGUGUGUGUGUGUGUGCAAGAGAGAGAGAUAGAGGUUAAGAAAGUUUGCUUAUGUACGUGUGUGUGCAUGGUUGUGUGUAUGUUUGUGCGUGCGAGAGAGAGAGAGCUAAUGGUCAUCACUCUAAACUGUUGGGCAGAGAUACAGGUGUCUGUUGCCCUUGGACCUGUUUGACUGCAAGUUCCAGAAUAGGUUGCUCAGUAAUUCCAUUCAAUUAGUCUGUUCAUUCAAGGCUCUAACACCUAGUUAGUCUGUUCAGUCAAGGCUCUAAAACA